RNAcentral lists this long non-coding RNA (354 nucleotides) under Musa acuminata (dwarf banana). RNAcentral's name for it is "long non-coding RNA (MACU_LNC000263)". The record is from RNAcentral. Lineage: Eukaryota; Viridiplantae; Streptophyta; Magnoliopsida; Zingiberales; Musaceae.
AGACAGCAUCUCAGCGAUGGGAAGAUUCACUUCCGUCUUCCUCUCCUGCCUCUCCUUCCUCCUCUUCGUCGUUCUUCUCCCACACGUCUCUUCGCGGCCAGCGGCCAUGCCCGCUCGACGCAGCAUCGUCGGCGAGACCUGCAACCAGAUCGCGAGAGGCGAUCCCAACGUGGACUUCACCUUCUGUUCGCAGUCGCUGCGGUCGGCCGCCGGAAGCGACGGCGCGGACCUGCACGGCCUCGCCAUCAUAUCGCUAAAGCUGGCGGUCGCCAACGCGACGUCCGCCGCGACCCGGGCGAAGGCGCUGCUGAAGGGCAACGGCCUGAGCCGGUACUACAAGUCGUGCCUGGACGC